This 100-nucleotide transfer RNA is filed under the name Ceratovacuna nekoashi. Its description in RNAcentral is "tRNA-Val". Lineage: Eukaryota; Metazoa; Arthropoda; Insecta; Hemiptera; Hormaphididae. The record is from RNAcentral.
AUUUAGAAAGAAAUAAAAUUUAGUAUAUAUAUAUAUUAAAUAAAUAUCUAAAUUUAAGUAUGUCAUUUACGAUGAUAAGAUGUUUUUAACUUUAUUUAAA